RNAcentral lists this ribosomal RNA (253 nucleotides) under uncultured bacterium. RNAcentral describes it as "partial 16S ribosomal RNA". It matches the Rfam family "Bacterial small subunit ribosomal RNA", at positions 524 to 776 of the family's 1533-position model. The record is from RNAcentral.
GACGAACCGUGCGAACGUUGUUCGGAAUCACUGGGCUUAAAGGGCGCGUAGGCGGAUCAGCAAGUCUGGGUUGAAAUCCUUCGGCUUAACCGGAGAACUGGCCUGGAUACUGCUGAUCUCGAGGGAGGUAGGGGCAGCUGGAACUUCCGGUGGAGCGGUGAAAUGCGUUGAUAUCGGAAGGAACGCCGGUGGCGAAAGCGAGCUGCUGGACCUCUUCUGACGCUGAGGCGCGAAAGCCAGGGGAGCAAACGGG